UUAAAUUGAAGAGUUUGAUCAUGGCUCAGAUUGAACGCUGGCGGCAGGCCUAACACAUGCAAGUCGAGCGGUAGCACAGAGAGCUUGCUCUCGGGUGACGAGCGGCGGACGGGUGAGUAAUGUCUGGGAAACUGCCUGAUGGAGGGGGAUAACUACUGGAAACGGUAGCUAAUACCGCAUAACGUCGCAAGACCAAAGUGGGGGACCUUCGGGCCUCAUGCCAUCAGAUGUGCCCAGAUGGGAUUAGCUAGUAGGUGGGGUAACGGCUCACCUAGGCGACGAUCCCUAGCUGGUCUGAGAGGAUGACCAGCCACACUGGAACUGAGACACGGUCCAGACUCCUACGGGAGGCAGCAGUGGGGAAUAUUGCACAAUGGGCGCAAGCCUGAUGCAGCCAUGCCGCGUGUGUGAAGAAGGCCUUCGGGUUGUAAAGCACUUUCAGCGGGGAGGAAGGCGAUAAGGUUAAUAACCUUGUCGAUUGACGUUACCCGCAGAAGAAGCACCGGCUAACUCCGUGCCAGCAGCCGCGGUAAUACGGAGGGUGCAAGCGUUAAUCGGAAUUACUGGGCGUAAAGCGCACGCAGGCGGUCUGUCAAGUCGGAUGUGAAAUCCCCGGGCUCAACCUGGGAACUGCAUUCGAAACUGGCAGGCUAGAGUCUUGUAGAGGGGGGUAGAAUUCUAGGUGUAGCGGUGAAAUGCGUAGAGAUCUGGAGGAAUACCGGUGGCGAAGGCGGCCCCCUGGACAAAGACUGACGCUCAGGUGCGAAAGCGUGGGGAGCAAACAGGAUUAGAUACCCUGGUAGUCCACGCCGUAAACGAUGUCGAUUUGGAGGUUGUGCCCUUGAGGCGUGGCUUCCGGAGCUAACGCGUUAAAUCGACCGCCUGGGGAGUACGGCCGCAAGGUUAAAACUCAAAUGAAUUGACGGGGGCCCGCACAAGCGGUGGAGCAUGUGGUUUAAUUCGAUGCAACGCGAAGAACCUUACCUGGUCUUGACAUCCACAGAACUUAGCAGAGAUGCUUUGGUGCCUUCGGGAACUGUGAGACAGGUGCUGCAUGGCUGUCGUCAGCUCGUGUUGUGAAAUGUUGGGUUAAGUCCCGCAACGAGCGCAACCCUUAUCCUUUGUUGCCAGCGGUUAGGCCGGGAACUCAAAGGAGACUGCCAGUGAUAAACUGGAGGAAGGUGGGGAUGACGUCAAGUCAUCAUGGCCCUUACGACCAGGGCUACACACGUGCUACAAUGGCAUAUACAAAGAGAAGCGACCUCGCGAGAGCAAGCGGACCUCAUAAAGUAUGUCGUAGUCCGGAUUGGAGUCUGCAACUCGACUCCAUGAAGUCGGAAUCGCUAGUAAUCGUAGAUCAGAAUGCUACGGUGAAUACGUUCCCGGGCCUUGUACACACCGCCCGUCACACCAUGGGAGUGGGUUGCAAAAGAAGUAGGUAGCUUAACCUUCGGGAGGGCGCUUACCACUUUGUGAUUCAUGACUGGGGUGAAGUCGUAACAAGGUAACCG
Molecule: ribosomal RNA, 1511 nt
Filed under: Klebsiella pneumoniae subsp. rhinoscleromatis SB3432
Lineage: Bacteria; Pseudomonadati; Pseudomonadota; Gammaproteobacteria; Enterobacterales; Enterobacteriaceae
Description: SSU rRNA
Rfam family: Bacterial small subunit ribosomal RNA
Source: RNAcentral